This 238-nucleotide ribosomal RNA is filed under the name uncultured Lactobacillus sp. Its description in RNAcentral is "partial 16S ribosomal RNA". It matches the Rfam family "Bacterial small subunit ribosomal RNA", at positions 125 to 354 of the family's 1533-position model. Lineage: Bacteria; Bacillati; Bacillota; Bacilli; Lactobacillales; Lactobacillaceae. The record is from RNAcentral.
CCGUAGCCCAAGAGAUCGGGAUAACACCUGGAAACAGAUGCUAAUACCGGAUAACAACAGAUGAUGCCUAUCAACUGUUUAAAAGAUGGUUCUGCUAUCACUCUUGGAUGGACCUGCGGUGCAUUAGCUAGUUGGUAGGGUAACGGCCUACCAAGGCGAUGAUGCAUAGCCGAGUUGAGAGACUGAUCGGCCACAUUGGACUGAGACACGGCCCAAACUCCUACGGGAGGCAGCAGGC